UAGGGAAUCUUCGGCAAUGGGGGCAACCCUGACCGAGCAACGCCGCGUGAGUGAAGAAGGUUUUCGGAUCGUAAAGCUCUGUUGUAGGAGAAGAACGUGUGUGAGAGUGGAAAGUUCACACAGUGACGGUAACUUACCAGAAAGGGACGGCUAACUACGUGCCAGCAGCCGCGGUAAUACGUAGGUCCCGAGCGUUGUCCGGAUUUAUUGGGCGUAAAGCGAGGGCAGGCGGUUUAAUAAGUCUGAAGUUAAAGGCAGUGGCUUAACCAUUGUUCGCUUUGGAAACUGUUAAACUUGAGUGCAGAAGGGGAGAGUGGAAUUCCAUGUGUAGCGGUGAAAUGCGUAGAUAUAUGGAGGAACACCGGUGGCGAAAGCGGCUCUCUGGUCUGUAACUGACGCUGAGGCUCGAAAGCGUGGGGAGCAAACAGG
This 429-nucleotide ribosomal RNA is filed under the name bacterium. RNAcentral's name for it is "partial 16S ribosomal RNA". It matches the Rfam family "Bacterial small subunit ribosomal RNA", at positions 355 to 776 of the family's 1533-position model. The record is from RNAcentral.